CAGCAGCCGCGGUAAUACGUAGGUCCCGAGCGUUGUCCGGAUUUAUUGGGCGUAAAGCGAGCGCAGGCGGUUAGAUAAGUCUGAAGUUAAAGGCUGUGGCUUAACCAUAGUACGCUUUGGAAACUGUUUAACUUGAGUGCAAGAGGGGAGAGUGGAAUUCCAUGUGUAGCGGUGAAAUGCGUAGAUAUAUGGAGGAACACCGGUGGCGAAAGCGGCUCUCUGGCUUGUAACUGACGCUGAGGCUCGAAAGCGUGGGGAGCAAACAGGAUUAGAUACCCCCGUAGUCCCUGUCUCUUAUACA
RNAcentral lists this ribosomal RNA (301 nucleotides) under uncultured bacterium. RNAcentral describes it as "partial 16S ribosomal RNA". It matches the Rfam family "Bacterial small subunit ribosomal RNA", at positions 509 to 808 of the family's 1533-position model. The record is from RNAcentral.